RNAcentral lists this ribosomal RNA (293 nucleotides) under uncultured bacterium. RNAcentral's name for it is "partial 16S ribosomal RNA". It matches the Rfam family "Archaeal small subunit ribosomal RNA", at positions 455 to 747 of the family's 1478-position model. The record is from RNAcentral.
GUUUCAGCCGCCGCGGUAACACCAGCGCCUCGGGUGGGGAUCGCGAUUAUUGGGUCUAAAGCGUCCGUAGCAGGCUCGGUAAAUGCUUUGUGAAAUCGGCAGGCUUAACCUGCCGGCGCGCAGAGUAGACUGCAGAGCUCGAGUCCGGGAGAGGUUAGAAGUAUUCCUUGGGUACCGGUAAAAUGGGUUAAUCCAAGGAGGACUACCUAUGGCGAAGGCAUCUAACCAGAACGGAUCUGACUGUGAGGGACGAAAGCUAGGGGAGCAAAACGGAUUAGAAACCCCAGUAGUCC